GCCUGGGUGGCUCAGUCAGUUGAGCAUCCGACUUCAGAUCAGGUCAUGAUCUCACAGUUCAUGAGUUCAAGCCCCAUGUCAGGCU
RNAcentral lists this transfer RNA (85 nucleotides) under Felis catus (domestic cat). It matches the Rfam family "tRNA". Rfam says of the family: Transfer RNA (tRNA) molecules are approximately 80 nucleotides in length. RNAcentral also lists the same sequence under 2 other names. Lineage: Eukaryota; Metazoa; Chordata; Mammalia; Carnivora; Felidae. The record is from Rfam by way of RNAcentral.